CGCCCAUGACUCUGCUCGUGAUCUAAGCCGAUCCGUCGACGCCCGCGCGCCGUCGUCAACUUUGAUGGCUCGAACCCGAGGAGUUCCCUCUGAUGCCGCGUCGCUCCACCUCGAAGGCCGCAACCCCGUCGAUGCCCCGCCGCUGUCGUGGCCCUUCACCGCUGCAGAGUAUCGCCGUCACGACCCUCCUCCGUCGCGGUCUCAGAUCCGCGGCUCCACUGUCGGGUCACAGCCCCAGCGGAGCUCCGGCAUCAGCAAAGCCCGCCAGCUGCUCGACGGCGAUCCUGAGAGAGAGAGCGGUGCUCUCCUCUCAAACGGGUUCCGCCCGCCAAGUGCUUGAUGUGCCCGGAGUCCGCCCACCAACCGCUCGACGGCGAUCCUGAGAGAGAGAGCGGUGCUCUCCUCUCAAACGGGUUCCACCCGCCAAGUGCUCGAUGUGCCCGGAGUCCUCCCACCAACCGCUCGACGGCGAAUCUGAGAGAGAGAGCGGUGCUCUCUUCUCAAACAACGGCAAAUUCGAGAGAGAGAGAGAGAGAGCAGUGCUCUCCUUUCAAAUGAAGUUAGAUCCACUCGCCAAGUGCUCGACGGCGAAAUUGAGAGAGAGAGCGAUGCUCUCCUCUCAAAUGAAGUCAAGUCCGCCAACCGCUCCGACAACGAAUCCGAGAGAGAGAGAGCGGUGCUCUCCUCUCAAACAAAGUUCGCCCGCUAAUUGCUAGGUGGCGAAUCAUAAAGAGAGCGAUGCUCUCAUUUACCGACUAAUCAUUCGACGAAAUACUUCGUCGUCGACGUGCUAAUCAAACCGCUCGAUGGAAUGCCGAGAUGAACAUCGAUGGUGCUUUUUGCAAAAUAUCACCAAAAAGAGAGAUCACUCUAAAAGAGAGAGAGAGCUUUGACAAAAUCACAUUAGACGCUUCAAAUUAAAUUGAAAUUUAAUUUGUUAUUCAAAUCCAGAAUUUGAAGAAAAUGUAUAUGAAAAUCUUAAUUGAUCAAAACUUUUUUUUUUAAUAAAACCUCGAGACAUGAAUUUAGGCCCGAUCAUAUGGACCUAAGUCAUUGAACCUCAACCCAUCCGUAUUAAAUCAACACUUUGACUCUAAACCCAUCUAAACCCAUUAACCUUAACCUCACUCAAAAUCCAUUAACCGUUACCUAUAACCCAAUCCAAUUAAACCUUAGCCCAAUUCUAAACCUAUAACCUAUAACCCAAUCCAAUUAAAUCUAAGCCUAGUCCAAAGCCCAGAGCCCAUUUACAAAUGGCCCCGGUCCAAAACCCAUUUGGGCCCACUAUCUAAACCCAUUAUCCAAAACUCAUUAAAACCAUUAACCCAUGAACCCAUAUACAUAAACCUAUAUACAUUUACCCAUGAACCCGUACACAUUUAACCCAUAUCCAAGCCCAUAACUUUAACCAAGUCCAUGAACUUUGAACCAAAACCAUGGACCAAACCAUACACCAAAUCCUGUGGACCAUACCAUACACCAAAUCCACGAACUAUGAAUCAAGUUCAUGAAUCAAAUCAAGUUCAUGAACCAGGGAUCAUAGACCACAAACCAUACACCAAGUUCAUGAACCAUAAACCCAUGAACCAUAAAUCCAUGAACCAUAAGUCCAUGAACCAUAAACCCAUACACCAAGUUCAUGAACCAUAAACCCAUGAACCAUAAGUCCAUGAACCACAAACCCAUGAACCGUAAGUCCAUGAACCAUAAAUCCAUGAAUCAUGGACUUCAUGAACCAUAAGUCCAUGAACCAUAAACCCAUGAACCAUAAGUCCAUGAACCANCGCCGCCGGCGUAGACCCCCUCUUGCGCGGCCCCCACCGAUCGAAGCCGCACGAGGUCGCUCAAAGCUCCCUCAUCACCAUCGAGCCGGCCGCGCUAAACCCUUCCACUCGGCCGCUCCACUGAGCUCGCCGCCCUCAAUCGCUCGAAGCCGCUCCGGCCUUAGCCGCUCGAAGGCCCGCUGCUGUCCUUGACUCGAAGCCGCGCCACCCGCGGCCGAUACUUUCGAAGCCGCGCCACCCGCGGCAGGUCCGCCCGAAGCCACACAGAGGCUCCGUCGAAGUCGCUGUCCUCUCGAAGCCGCGCCACCAGCGGCCGGUCCUCUCGAAGCCGCGCCACCCGCGGCCGGUCCUCUCGAAGCCGCGCCACCCGCGGCCGAUCCGCCNCCCGAAGCCGCGCCACCCGCGGCCGAUACUUUCGAAGCCGCGCCACCCGCGGCAGGUCCGCCCGAAGCCACGCAGAGGCUCCGUCGAAGUCGCCGUCACCCGAAGCCGCGCCACCCGCGGCCGGUCCUCUCGAAGCCGCGCCACCCGCGGCCGGUCCUCUCGAAGCCGCGCCACCCGCGGCCGAUCCGCCCGAAGCCGCGCCACCCGCGGCCAAUUCGUCGAUGCCCAUGCCGAGCCGCCGCCCAUAACUCUGCUCGUGAUCUUGGCCGAGCCGCGCCACCCGCGCGCCGUCGUCGACUUUGAUGGCUCGAACCCGAGGAGUUCCCUCUAAUGCCGCGUCGCUCCACCUCGAAGGCCGCAGCCCCGUCGAUGCCACGCCGCUGUCGUGGCCCUUCACCGCUGCAGAGCGUCGUCGUCACGGCCCUCCUCCGUCGUGGUCUCAGAUCCGCGGCUCCACUGUCAGGUCACAGCCCCAGCGAAGCUCCGUCAUCAACAAAGCCCGCCAGCUGCUCGACGGCGAUCCUGAGAGAGAGAGCGGUGCUCUACUCUCAAACGGAGUCCGCCCACCAACCGCUCGACGGCGAACCUGAGAGAGAGAGCGGUGCUCUCCUCUUAAAUGAAUUUAGAUCCGCUCGCCAAGCGCUCGACGACGAAAUUGAGAGAGAGAGCGGUGCUCUCCUCUCAAAUGAAGUCAAGUCCGCCAACCGCUCCGACGACGAAUCCGAGAGAGAGAGCGGUGCUCUCCUCUCAAACAAAGUUCGCCCGCUAAUUGCUCGGUGGCGAAUCAUAAAGAGAGCGAUGCUCUCAUUUACCGACCAAUCAUUCGACGAAAUACUUCGUCGUCGACGUGCUAAUCAAACCGCUCGAUGGAAUGCCGAGAUGAACAUCGAUGGUGCUCUUUGCAAAAUAUCACCAAAAAGAGAGAUCACUCUAAAAGAGAGAGAGAGCUUUGACAAAAUCACAUUAGACACUUCAAAUUAAAUUGAAAUUUAAUUUGUUAUUCAAAUCCAGAAUUUGAAGAAAAUGUAUAUGAAAAUCUUAAUUGAUCAAAAAUUUUUUUUUUUAAUAAAACCUCGAGACAUGAAUCUAGGCCCGAUCAUAUGGACCUAAGUCAUUGAAC
Molecule: long non-coding RNA, 3288 nt
Filed under: Ananas comosus (pineapple)
Lineage: Eukaryota; Viridiplantae; Streptophyta; Magnoliopsida; Poales; Bromeliaceae
Description: long non-coding RNA (ACOM_LNC003177)
Source: RNAcentral